AGUGAACGCUGGCGGUAGGCCUAACAUAUGCAAGUCGAACGGCAGCACAGUAAGAGCUUGCUCUUACGGGUGGCGAGUGGCGGACGGGUGAGGAAGACAUCGGAAUCUACUUUUUCGUGGGGGAUAACGUAGGGAAACUUACGCUAAUACCGCAUACGACCUACGGGUGAAAGCAGGGGAUCUUCGGACCUUGCGCGAUUGUAUGAGCCGAUGUCGGAUUAGCUAGUUGGCGGGGUAAAGGCCCACCAAGGCUACGAUCCGUAGCUGGUGUGAGAGGAUGAUCAGCCACACUGGAACGGAGACACGGUCCAGACUCCUACGGGAGGCAGCAGUGGGGAAUAUUGGACAAUGGGCGCAAGCCUGAUCCAGCCAUACCGCGUGGGUGAAGAAGGCCUUCGGGUUGUAAAGCCCUUUUGUUGGGAAAGAAAAGCAGCAGGUUAAUACCCCGCUGUUCUGAGGGUACCCAAAGAAUAAGCACCGGCUAAGUUCGUG
RNAcentral lists this ribosomal RNA (492 nucleotides) under uncultured bacterium. Its description in RNAcentral is "partial 16S ribosomal RNA". It matches the Rfam family "Bacterial small subunit ribosomal RNA", at positions 29 to 507 of the family's 1533-position model. The record is from RNAcentral.